Molecule: ribosomal RNA, 564 nt
Filed under: uncultured bacterium
Lineage: Bacteria
Description: partial 16S ribosomal RNA
Rfam family: Bacterial small subunit ribosomal RNA
Source: RNAcentral
UGGGGAAUAUUGCACAAUGGGCGAAAGCCUGAUGCAGCAACGCCGCGUGAGUGAUGAAGGCCUUCGGGUUGUAAAGCUCUGUCUUUUGGGACGAUAAUGACGGUACCAAAGGAGGAAGCCACGGCUAACUACGUGCCAGCAGCCGCGGUAAUACGUAGGUGGCAAGCGUUGUCCGGAUUUACUGGGCGUAAAGGAUGCGUAGGCGGAUUUUUAAGUGAGAUGUGAAAUACCCGGGCUUAACUUGGGUGCUGCAUUUAAACUGGGAAUCUAGAGUGCGGGAGAGGAGAAUGGAAUUCCUAGUGUAGCGGUGAAAGUGCGUAGAGAUUAGGAAGAACACCAGUGGCGAAGGCGAUUCUCUGGACCGUAACUGACGCUGAGGCAUGAAAGCGUGGGUAGCAAAACAGGAUUAGAUACCCUGGUAGUCCACGCCGUAAACGAUGAGUACUAGGUGUAGGAGGUAUCGACCCCUUCUGUGCCGCAGUUAACACAAUAAGUACUCCGCCUGGGAAGUACGAUCGCAAGAUUAAAACUUAAAGGAAUUGACGGGGGUCAUAGCUGUUUCCU